GGCUACGUAGCUCAGCUGGUUAGAGCACAGCACUCAUAAUGCUGGGGUCGGCGGUUCGAGUCCGCCCGUAGCUACCA
Molecule: transfer RNA, 77 nt
Filed under: Gammaproteobacteria bacterium
Lineage: Bacteria; Pseudomonadati; Pseudomonadota; Gammaproteobacteria
Also listed under: 3 other names
Description: tRNA-Met
Rfam family: tRNA
About the family: Transfer RNA (tRNA) molecules are approximately 80 nucleotides in length. Their secondary structure includes four short double-helical elements and three loops (D, anti-codon, and T loops).
Source: RNAcentral